GAGCAGCUUCACCUGGAGAAAGCAGCCUGCAGCCCACAGCCAAUCAGCACGGAGGAGCAGGGCUCUCCGCUUCAGGAUUGGCUGAUUGGCUUCUUUUUGUUUAUUUAUUUAUUCAUUUAUUUAUUUGACAGCCUCAUUAGUUGCCUCGCCGUGAAGCUUCUUGGGCACCAAGUCACUGCACCGAGAACAGGAUUUAAUCUGCUUCUUGUGUUUGGAAAGAAAGACACGCAAGGACGACAGCAGCAGUUGAUCCGGGGCGCUGCUCUCUCCUCUCCGUCUCCUCAAAGGGGGAAAAUAGUGACGAUCAACAUCUUCUCUCCAGAGCCUCUGCGUAAAACCAGACACCAGCUGAUAUGAGCAGAGAGGGAAUCAGUGCAUCGGUGGUAGUGCAUUAAAAACACAAAGGCCUCAUCCUGGGCGACAGAGGAGGAGGAGGAGGGAUGGUGCCCAGCAUGGGACGGCUCAGCCACCGCCGGCAGGACGGCUGCAUCACGCCGUCCCUGGACCGCCGCCACCUGAUCAUGACAAACAUCCGCCGGCGGCUCUGCAGUCCGGCUCCACCGUGUGAAGGGAAGACAGAAAUGAAGAAGGACAUCACAGUAAAUGUCCAGUUCUCCUGUCGAUUCAUCUCUUGGGCAAUCAGUGGAACAAUUAUCAAUAUUGAUAUAUUAUUGACGUUCACUGAUAGAUCCCAUUGGGUCACUCAGAACAUUUACAUGCACACUCAUUUCCCACCAUUACUCCGAAUAUGACAAUAUUCCUAAUUUGAUCUGAGUCAUGCAAACAGCAUAUUCUGAAUCAGGCCUUUUUCCAACUGUAGUAUUUUCAGACUAACCCAUGUGGAAUACACCGAUAUUAUUUUUAUUAUUAUUAUUAUUAUUUUAGGAGUUUUCUGUAGUCGUCUGUGCAGCACAUUGGGAAUAUGCUCAGCUGUGUGCAUUUUAAACAAACCAACCAGCCAGCAGUGUCUAGGGAAGAGGAGUGUGCACAAAAGAAGAGUCACACAUUUCCGGUCAGAAAGGGAAACACCUACUUUUAGAUCUGAUGAAAGACUUGGGUUUUUCCAUAUGUGCAGAAAUCACAAGGCCGAGCGUUUCGAUAAGAAAAGGAGGAGGUUGAAUGAGCGACAGAGGGAAGCUGUCGAAGUACGCAUCAGCCGUGUGAACAGAUUAGCAGGAAUAUUGACUUUUUCAGAAUGAGGGCAAAAAACAGAAUAUUUUGUGCAUUUUGUGCAUAGUCGCUGAGAUUUUUUGAGCCGUAACGACGUAAAUCAGCCGUGGACUGACACAGAGAGAAAGAUGUCUGCACGAUGAUGUCAAUUUUGUGCUAAAAACAGAAAACACGGAGCUUUUUUUUAAUGUUUUCUUGGAACAUAUUGAGCUGUAUUUUAACAAUCUAAGUGCACAUAUUUCUCACAUAUUUUUAGAUUCCCAAAGCUACUCGGCAUACCUCAGACAAAUUACAUCAUAUAUUUAUUUAAUACGUCCCCUUAUAUGUCUGUUUCCAAGAAUAUCCAACAGAGGUCUCACACAUGUGCAACCCUUUGGUUAUUGGUGAUUGAUUCCUGUGUUUGCAAAACCAUACUGUAUAACUGAUAUUAAAAAUGUACCUAAACCUUGUUUGUGUUUUUGUGUUAAGAGAUUUAACUUGAUCAAUAUCAUCAAAAUUCAAAUACAUGAGGUGAGAAAUGGCUCCUUCCUC
This is a long non-coding RNA of Myripristis murdjan (pinecone soldierfish), 1701 nucleotides long. RefSeq lists it as uncharacterized. The record is from RefSeq and is a predicted model, not a curated record. The transcript has 4 exons. Lineage: Eukaryota; Metazoa; Chordata; Actinopteri; Holocentriformes; Holocentridae.